GAUGAACGCUGGCGGCGUGCCUAAUACAUGCAAGUCGAGCGAACAGACGAGGAGCUUGCUCCUCUGACGUUAGCGGCGGACGGGUGAGUAACACGUGGAUAACCUACCUAUAAGACUGGGAUAACUUCGGGAAACCGGAGCUAAUACCGGAUAAUAUAUUGAACCGCAUGGUUCAAUAGUGAAAGACGGUUUUGCUGUCACUUAUAGAUGGAUCCGCGCCGCAUUAGCUAGUUGGUAAGGUAACGGCUUACCAAGGCAACGAUGCGUAGCCGACCUGAGAGGGUGAUCGGCCACACUGGAGCUGAGACACGGUCCAGACGCCUACGGUAGGCAGCAGUAGGGAAUCUUCCGCAAUGGUCGAAAGCCUGACGGAGCAACGCCGCGUGAGUGAUGAAGGUCUUCGGAUCGUAAAACUCUGUUAUUAGGGAAGAACAAAUGUGUAAGUAACUAUGCACUUCUUGACGGUACCUAAUCAGAAAGCCACGGCUAACUACGUG
This 497-nucleotide ribosomal RNA is filed under the name uncultured bacterium. Its description in RNAcentral is "partial 16S ribosomal RNA". It matches the Rfam family "Bacterial small subunit ribosomal RNA", at positions 28 to 507 of the family's 1533-position model. The record is from RNAcentral.